UGGGGAAUAUUGCACAAUGGGCGCAAGCCUGAUGCAGCCAUGCCGCGUGUAUGAAGAAGGCCUUCGGGUUGUAAAGUACUUUCAGUCGGGAGGAAGGUGGUAAGGUUAAUAACCUUAUCAAUUGACGUUACUGACAGAAGAAGCACCGGCUAACUCCGUGCCAGCAGCCGCGGUAAUACGGUGGGUGCAAGCUUUAAUCGGAUUUACUGGGCGUAAAGCGCACGCAGGCGGUUGAUUGAGUCAGAUGUGAAAUCCCCGGGCUUAACCAGGGAAAUGCAUCUGAUACUUGGCAGCUAAAGUAUUGUAGAGGGGGAUAUAGUACCAUGUUUAGCGGUGAAAUGCGUGGUGAUGUGGAGUGAUACCGGUGGCGAUGGCGGCCCCCUCGACAAAGACUGUCGCUCAGAUGCGAAAGCGUGGGGAGCAAACAGG
Molecule: ribosomal RNA, 429 nt
Filed under: Chloroflexota bacterium
Lineage: Bacteria; Bacillati; Chloroflexota
Description: Chloroflexi bacterium partial 16S ribosomal RNA
Rfam family: Bacterial small subunit ribosomal RNA
Source: RNAcentral